CAUGUGGUUUAAUUCGAAGACAACGCGAAGAACCUUUACCAGGUUCUUGACAUCCCGAUGCUAUUUCUAGAGAUAGAAAGUUACUUCGGUACAUCGGUGACAGGUGGUGCAUGGUUGUCGUCAGCUCGUGUCGUGAGAUGUUGGGUUAAGUCCCGCAACGAGCGCAACCCCUAUUGUUAGUUGCCAUCAUUCAGUUGGGCACUCUAGCGAGACUGCCGGUAAUAAACCGGAGGAAGUGGGGAUGACGUCAAAUCAUCAUGCCCCUUAUGACCUGGGCUACACACGUGCUACAAUGGUUGGUACAACGAGUUGCGAGUCGGUGACGGCGAGCUAAUCUCUUAAAGCCAACCUCAGUUCGGAUUGUAGGCUGCAACUCGCCUACAUGAAGUCGGAAUCGCUAGUAAUCGCGGAUCAGCACGCCGCGGUGAAUACGUUCCCGGGCCUU
Molecule: ribosomal RNA, 445 nt
Filed under: uncultured Streptococcus sp.
Lineage: Bacteria; Bacillati; Bacillota; Bacilli; Lactobacillales; Streptococcaceae
Description: bacterial SSU rRNA
Rfam family: Bacterial small subunit ribosomal RNA
Source: RNAcentral